RNAcentral lists this ribosomal RNA (468 nucleotides) under uncultured bacterium. Its description in RNAcentral is "partial 16S ribosomal RNA". It matches the Rfam family "Bacterial small subunit ribosomal RNA", at positions 28 to 507 of the family's 1533-position model. The record is from RNAcentral.
GAUGAACGCUGACAGAAUGCUUAACACAUGCAAGUCUACUUGAAUUUGGGUUUUUUAACUUAGAUUUGGGUGGCGGACGGGUGAGUAACGCGUAAAGAACUUGCCUCACAGUUAGGGACAACAUUUGGAAACGAAUGCUAAUACCUGAUAUUAUGAAUAUAUGGCAUCAUAUAAUUAUGAAAGCUAUAAGCGCUGUGAGAGAGCUUUGCGUCCCAUUAGCUAGUUGGAGAGGUAACGGCUCACCAAGGCGAUGAUGGGUAGCCGGCCUGAGAGGGUGAACGGCCACAAGGGGACUGAGACACGGCCCGUACUCCUACGGGAGGCAACAGUGGGGAAUAUUGGACAAUGGACCAAGAGUCUGAUCCAGCAAUUCUGUGUGCACGAUGACGUUUUUCGGAAUGUAAAGUGCUUUCAGUUGGGAAGAAAAAAAUGACGGUACCAACAGAAGAAGUGACGGCUAAAUACGUG